UGGGGAAUAUUGGACAAUGGGCGAAAGCCUGAUCCAGCAAUGCCGCGUGAGUGAUGAAGGCCUUAGGGUUGUAAAGCUCUUUUACCAGGGAUGAUAAUGACAGUACCUGGAGAAUAAGCUCCGGCUAACUCCGUGCCAGCAGCCGCGGUAAUACGGAGGGAGCUAGCGUUGUUCGGAAUUACUGGGCGUAAAGCGCGCGUAGGCGGUUUUUUAAGUCAGAGGUGAAAGCCCAGUGCUCAACACUGGAACUGCCUUUGAAACUGGAAAACUUGAAUCUUGGAGAGGUCAGUGGAAUUCCGAGUGUAGACGUGAAAUUCGUAGAUAUUCGGAAGAACACCAGUGGCGAAGGCGACUGACUGGACAAGUAUUGACGCUGAGGUGCGAAAGCGUGGGGAGCAAACAGG
RNAcentral lists this ribosomal RNA (404 nucleotides) under Bacillota bacterium. RNAcentral describes it as "Firmicutes bacterium partial 16S ribosomal RNA". It matches the Rfam family "Bacterial small subunit ribosomal RNA", at positions 355 to 776 of the family's 1533-position model. Lineage: Bacteria; Bacillati; Bacillota. The record is from RNAcentral.